CAAAAUAGAUGAAAACAACUCAGAGAGUUCCAAAAACCAUUGUUGAUUGUUUGGAUGCGAUGGUCUGAAACAGUUGACGAAAUAAUCAAGCAAUCUCUACGGAAGCCAUCAUUCACAACUAUCAGCUCAAAUUAGACAGAGUGUGCUGGUGGGUGAGCGUGCCAAGUGGGACAGCACGAAGCUCCACCGGCUGGAUGCGGUCAAAUGACUCGGUGGCACUAACUUGUGGUAAAAAUAAAAUUAACCGUAUAGAAAUGCACGCAUCCAUCUUCUAAAUACACCGUACAAUCGUCUUUUUCUUUUUGCAAUCAGAAAUUCCAUUCAAAACCGCUUUGAAAUUUCAUAAAUUUUUGAUUUUUUUUCAUUCAGUCGAUCCAUGAACAAGCCUAAACCACCCUGAACAAAAACAACUCAGAAUUCGCGAAAACCCCUACAAUUCAUUUCUGAGUUUUACCGCUCUAAUCAAAAUUUGAGUUUUCCCAGUUUUGGCGCAUUUUGAAUUAUUUUCCUUCAAAUCUGAGU
Molecule: long non-coding RNA, 522 nt
Organism: Uranotaenia lowii
Lineage: Eukaryota; Metazoa; Arthropoda; Insecta; Diptera; Culicidae
Exons: 3
Source: RefSeq, a predicted model, not a curated record